This 920-nucleotide ribosomal RNA is filed under the name uncultured archaeon. Its description in RNAcentral is "bacterial SSU rRNA". It matches the Rfam family "Archaeal small subunit ribosomal RNA", at positions 1 to 922 of the family's 1478-position model. The record is from RNAcentral.
UUCCGGUUGAUCCUGCCAGAGGCCAUUGCUACCGGAGUCCGAUUUAGCCAUGCUAGUUGCACGGGUUUAGACCCGUGGCGAAAAGCUCAGUAACACGUGGCCAAGCUACCCUGUGGACCGGAAUAACCUCGGGAAACUGAGGAUAAUUCCGGGUAACGCUCCCCCACUGGAAUGUGGGGAGCUGGAAAACGUUCAGGCGCCACAGGAUGCGGCUGCGGCCGAUUAGGUAGACGGUGGGGUAACGGCCCACCGUGCCCAUAAUCGGUACGGGUUGUGAGAGCAAGAGCCCGGAGACGGAAUCUGAGACAAGAUUCCGGGCCCUACGGGGCGCAGCAGGCGCGAAACCUUUACACUGCACGACAGUGCGAUAGGGGGACUCCGAGUGCGAGGGCAUAGAGCCCUCGCUUUUCUGUACCGUAAGGUGGUACAGGAAGAAGGGCUGGGCAAGACCGGUGCCAGCCGCCGCGGUAAUACCGGCAGCCCAAGUGAUGGCCGAUAUUAUUGGGCCUAAAGCGUCCGUAGCUGGCCGGACAAGUCCGUUGGGAAAUCCGCACGCUUAACGUGCGGGCGUCCAGCGGAAACUGUCCGGCUUGGGACCGGAAGACCCGAGGGGUACGUCCGGGGUAGGAGUGAAAUCCUGUAAUCUCGGACGGACCACCUGUGGCGAAAGCGCCUCGGGAAGACGGAUCCGACAGUGAGGGACGAAAGCCAGGGUCUCGAACCGGAUUAGAUACCCGGGUAGUCCUGGCCGUAAACGAUGUCCGCUAGGUGUGACGCAGGCUACGAGCCUGCGUUGUGCCGUAGGGAAGCCGUGAAGCGGACCGCCUGGGAAGUACGUCUGCAAGGAUGAAACUUAAAGGAAUUGGCGGGGGAGCACUACAACCGGAGGAGCCUGCGGUUUAAUUGGACUCAACGCCGGG